CGCUGAGAAAGCGGAGCUGAGAUUGUAGGAAAUUCCGAGUUACAUUUUCCAGCCUCUCGGGCCAGAAGUCUCCACUACGUCCUGGGAAACAUAUAUCAAAUGGAGUUGAAGAGAAAAAGGGAGUGAGCAACCAAGUGAUUGAGCCCACAGGAAAUGAUGGAGACCUCAGAGAUCAUCUGGGAACACCCUCCUCCUCUGGGGAACUACCCAGAACUCUGACCCGGAAGAACGAGGCUGUUGAACACAGGACAGAUCAGUGUGGGUGUUCAGGACGAAGACAUGAACUUUGCAGGACCUAUAGUCGCAUUGGAGCAGCAACUCCUCGCCAGAGUUGAGGCACUUCAUCUCUCAUUGCUGAUCCCGUCUUCACAGCAUCAUGCUGAUGACCAUUCAUGGCUUAAAGUGCUUUCCAGGUGCAUUUCUGCAGCAUGAUAAACCACCUUGGUCUGCUGAACACAUUUCUUGGUUUUACAUCCUAACAAAAGCAAGG
Molecule: non-coding RNA, 490 nt
Organism: Globicephala melas (long-finned pilot whale)
Lineage: Eukaryota; Metazoa; Chordata; Mammalia; Artiodactyla; Delphinidae
Source: RefSeq, a predicted model, not a curated record